GCAUAUCAAUAAGCGGAGGAAAAGAAACCAACAGGGAUUGCCCUUAGUAACGGCGAAGUGAAGCGGCAACAGCUCAAAUUUGAAAUCUGGCUCUUUCAGAGUCCGAGUUGUAAUUUGCAGAGGGCGCUUUGGCUUUGGCAGCGGUCCAAGUUCCUUGGAACAGGACGUCACAGAGGGUGAGAAUCCCGUACGUGGUCGCUAGCUAUUGCCGUGUAAAGCCCCUUCGACGAGUCGAGUUGUUUGGGAAUGCAGCUCUAAAUGGGAGGUAAAUUUCUUCUAAAGCUAAAUAUUGGCCAGAGACCGAUAGCGCACAAGUAGAGUGAUCGAAAGAUGAAAAGCACUUUGGAAAGAGAGUCAAACAGCACGUGAAAUUGUUGAAAGGGAAGCGCUUGCAGCCAGACUUGCUUGCAGUUGCUCAUCCGGGCUUUUGCCCGGUGCACUCUUCUGUAGGCAGGCCAGCAUCAGUUUGGGCGGUGGGAUAAAGGUCUCUGUCACGUACCUCUCUUCGGGGAGGCCUUAUAGGGGAGACGACAUACCACCAGCCUAGACUGAGGUCCGCGCAUCUGCUAGGAUGCUGGCGUAAUGGCUGUAAGCGGCCCGUCUUGAAACACGGACCAAGGAGUCUAACAUCUAUGCGAGUGUUUGGGUGUCAAGCCCGAGCGCGUAAUGAAAGUGAACGGAGGUGGGAACCCGCAAGGGUGCACCAUCGACCGAUCCUGAAGUUUACGGAAGGAUUUGAGUAAGAGCAUGGCUGUUGGGACCCGAAAGAUGGUGAACUAUGCUUGAAUAGGGUGAAGCCAGAGGAAACUCUGGUGGAGGCUCGCAGCGGUUCUGACGUGCAAAUCGAUCGUCAAAUUUGGGCAUAGGGGGCGAAAGACUAAUCGAACUAUCUAGUAGCUGGUUCCUGC
RNAcentral lists this ribosomal RNA (908 nucleotides) under Bipolaris sorokiniana. RNAcentral describes it as "LSU rRNA". It matches the Rfam family "Eukaryotic large subunit ribosomal RNA", at positions 38 to 961 of the family's 3401-position model. The record is from RNAcentral. Lineage: Eukaryota; Fungi; Ascomycota; Dothideomycetes; Pleosporales; Pleosporaceae.